This 292-nucleotide ribosomal RNA is filed under the name uncultured bacterium. RNAcentral describes it as "partial 16S ribosomal RNA". It matches the Rfam family "Bacterial small subunit ribosomal RNA", at positions 505 to 796 of the family's 1533-position model. The record is from RNAcentral.
GUGCCAGCCGCCGCGGUAAUACGGAGGGUGCAAGCGUUAAUCGGAAUCACUGGGCGUAAAGCGUGCGUAGGCGGCGCAGUAAGUCAGGGGUGAAAGCCCUCGGCUCAACCGAGGAAUUGCCUCUGAUACUGCUGUGCUUGAGGCUUGGAGAGGCAGGCGGAAUUCCAGGUGUAGGAGUGAAAUCCGUAGAUAUCUGGAGGAACACCGGUGGCGAAGGCGGCCUGCUGGACAAGUUCUGACGCUGAGGUACGAAAGCGUGGGUAGCAAACAGGAUUAGAUACCCGAGUAGUCC